GUGUGUAUGUAGGAUGGCUGCGACAUCUGUCACCCCAUUGAUUGUCAGGGUUGAUUUGGCUGAUCUGGCUGGCUAGGUGGGUAUCUCUUCCCUUCUUCCCUGCUCUGUGUGCAUCUCUCCAGAAGCUGCGCGCUCGGUGGAAGAGGAAGACCAUCCUAGAUAGAAGGAGUGUACCGUUUUUCGGUCAAGGGUAUACGAUAGCUGCACUCCCCUGCUAGAACCUCCAAACAAGCUCAAGGUCCAUUUGAGAGAGAACAUAGGGUAGUCAAACUCAAGAAAAUACUUCAUGCAUCUGAUGAGGUAUUGUAGU
Podarcis lilfordi (Lilford's wall lizard) is the source of this 310-nucleotide non-coding RNA. NCBI's taxonomy places the organism in Eukaryota, Metazoa, Chordata, Lepidosauria, Squamata, Lacertidae. The record is from the annotation of a GenBank genome assembly.